This 468-nucleotide ribosomal RNA is filed under the name uncultured bacterium. Its description in RNAcentral is "partial 16S ribosomal RNA". It matches the Rfam family "Bacterial small subunit ribosomal RNA", at positions 28 to 507 of the family's 1533-position model. The record is from RNAcentral.
GACGAACGCUGGCGGCGUGCUUAACACAUGCAAGUCGAACGGCAAGGCCCUGCUUUUGUGGGGUGCUCGAGUGGCGAACGGGUGAGUAACACGUGAGUAACCUGCCCUUGACUUUGGGAUAACUUCAGGAAACUGGGGCUAAUAUCGGAUAGGAGCUCCUGCUGCAUGGUGGGGGUUGGAAAGUUUCGGCGGUUGGGGAUGGACUGGCGGCUUAUCAGCUUGUUGGUGGGGUAGUGGCUUACCAAGGCUGUGACGGGUAGCCGGCCUGAGAGGGUGACCGGCCACAUUGGGACUGAGAUACGGCCCAGACUCCUACGGGAGGCAGCAGGGGGGAAUAUUGCACAAUGGGCGGAAGCCUGAUGCAGCAACGCCGCGUGCGGGAUGACGGCCUUCGGGUUGUGAACCGCUUUCGCCUGUGACGAAGCGUGAGUGACGGUAAUGGGUAAAGAAGCACCGGCUAACUACGUG